This 224-nucleotide ribosomal RNA is filed under the name uncultured bacterium. RNAcentral describes it as "partial 16S ribosomal RNA". It matches the Rfam family "Bacterial small subunit ribosomal RNA", at positions 96 to 334 of the family's 1533-position model. The record is from RNAcentral.
UGGCGUACGGGUGAGUAACACGUGGAUUAUCUGCCUCUUAGUGGGGAAUAACUCUGGGAAACCGGAGCUAAUACCGCAUAAGCCUGGGAAGGGAAAGUCGCAAGACGCUGAGAGAGGAGUCCGCGGCCGAUUAGCUAGUUGGCAGGGUAAAAGCCUACCAAGGCUAUGAUCGGUAGCCGGCCUGAGAGGGCACACGGCCACACUGGCACUGAAACACGGGCCAG